AGUCCAUGUUGAGGACACUUGAGUAAUAACUCCUUGAAUCGCUACCAUGUCUCGUAGAAUGACUCUCCCUCCCUUUGGAGAAACUCUUGGAUCAUGCUACUCAGACG
This 107-nucleotide small nucleolar RNA is filed under the name Helianthus annuus (common sunflower). RNAcentral describes it as "Plant small nucleolar RNA R71". It matches the Rfam family "Plant small nucleolar RNA R71". Rfam says of the family: R71 is a member of the C/D box family of snoRNAs containing the C (UGAUGA) and D (CUGA) box motifs. Lineage: Eukaryota; Viridiplantae; Streptophyta; Magnoliopsida; Asterales; Asteraceae. The record is from RNAcentral.